Molecule: ribosomal RNA, 106 nt
Filed under: Sinocyclocheilus anshuiensis
Lineage: Eukaryota; Metazoa; Chordata; Actinopteri; Cypriniformes; Cyprinidae
Source: RNAcentral
UACGGCCAUACUACUCUGUCUGCGUCUGAUCUCGGAAGCUAAGCAGGGUCGGGCCUGGUUAGUACUUGGAUGUGAGAACAGCUUUGCUGUUUGGGAGGGAUCGUUU